UUCAAAUGAGUAAAGGCUUACGGUGGAUACCUUAGGCACCCACGAGACGAGGAAGGGCGUAGCAAUCGACGAAACGCUUCGAGUAGUUGAAUAUUAGUAUAGAUCCGAAGAUCCCCGAAUAGGUAAACCUUUAAAACUGCUACUUUAUUGAAAAUUUAAAGCAGGCAAGAGAAAACCCGGUGAACUGAAACAUCUGAGUAUCCGGAGGAAAAGAAAGCAAAAGCGAUUCCCUAAGUAGUGGUGAGCGAAAUGGGAGCAGUCUAAACCGUGAAUAACGGAGUUGUGGGGGAGCAAAAAAGUAGAGUUCUGAUGUUCGGUGAAGAGGUGGAGUACCGAAACCCUAGAUGGUGAUAGUCCAGUAACCAAAAACAUCACUAACUGACGCUUUCACCCCGAGUAACAUGGAACACGUGUAAUUCCGUGUGAAUACGCAAGGACCACCUUGCAAGGCUAAAUACUUCUGGGUGACCGAUAGCGAAGAAAGUACCGUGAGGGAAAGGUGAAAAGAACCCCCGGACUGGGGAGUGAAAGAGAACAUGAAACCGCGAGCUACCAAGCAGUAGGAGGGGAGAGCUUAAUUUCUGACUACGUGCCUUUUGAAGAAUGAGCCGGCGACUCAUAGGUAUUGGCUCGGUUAAGGGAAAAUUUACCGUAGCCUUAGCGAAAGCGAGUCCUAACGAGGCGAUUGUCACUACUUAUGGACCCGAACCUGGGUGAUCUAUCCAUGACCAGGAUGAAACUUGGAUGAAACUAAGUGGAGGUCCGAACCGACUGAUGUUGAAGAAUCAGCGGAUGAGUUGUGGUUAGGGGUGAAAUGCCACUCGAACCCAGAGCUAGCUGGUUCUCCCCGAAAUGCGUUGAGGCGCAGCAGUUGACUAGACGUAUAGGGGUAAAGCACUUUUUUGGUUAGGGCCGCGAGAGCGAUACCAAAUCGAGAUAAACUCUGAAUACUAGAUGUGAACCCACAAAUAGGGUUCAAGGUUGGCUGGUGAGACAAUGGGGGAUAAGCUUCAUUGUCUAGAGGGAAACAGCCCGGAUCACCAGCUAAGGUCCCUAAAUGAUCGCUAAGUAAUUAAGGAUGUAGGGGUGCCGAGACAUUCAUGAGGUUUGCCUAGAAGCAGCCAUCCUAUAAAGAGUGCGUAAUAGCUCACUGAUCCAGCGCUCUUGCGCCAAAAAUGAAAGGGAUUAAGCGAUCUGCCGAAGCUGUGGGAUGAAAAUCGGUAGGGGAGUAUUCCGCUUUAGAUGGAAGCACCUGCGUAAGCGGGCGUGGAUGAAGCGGAAGUGAGAAUGUCGGUUUAAGUAACGCAAACAUUGGUGAGAAUCCAAUGCCCCGAGAAUCUAAGGGUUCCUCUGCAAGGCUCGUCCCCAGAGGGUUAGUCAGGACCUAAGAUUAGGUCGAAAGGAGUAUUUGAUGGACGACAGGCAAAUAUUCCUGUACUAUCCCUUGUUGGUCCCGAAGGACGGAGAAGGAUAAAGUUAGCCAAGAGAUUCUUUUUGGCUCAAGGAAUUAAGGCGACUCUGAAUUAGUAAGGUCUGAAAAGGGGUGGUGUAAAUACCUCCGAGCUAAUUGCCAAGUACCAGGCGCCAUGGCGCUUAAGUAACCUAAUUUCAUACUCCCAGGAAAAGCUCGAAUGACCUUAAACAAGAGGGUACCUGUACCCAAAACCAACACAGGUGGAUUGGUAGAGAAUACCUAGGGGCUCGAGGUAACUCUCUCUAAGGAACUCGGCAAAAUAGCCCCGUAACUUCGGGAGAAGGGGUGCCCUCUCAAUAAAGGGGGCCGCAGUGAUCAGGCCCGGGCGACUGUUUAACAAAAACACAGGUCUCCGCAAAGUCGUAAGACCAUGUAUGGGGGCUGACGCCUGCCCAGUGCCGGAAGGUUAAGUAAGUUGGUGAUCUGAUGACAGAGUAGCCGACGAUCGAAGUCCCGGUGAACGGCGGCCGUAACUAUAACGGUCCUAAGGUAGCGAAAUUCCUUGUCGGGUAAGUUCCGACCCGCACGAAAGGCGUAACGAUUUGGGCGCUGUCUCGGAGAGAGGCUCGGUGAAAUAGAAAUGUCUGUGAAGAUGCGGACUACCUUCACCUGGACAGAAAGACCCUAUGAAGCUUUACUGUUCCUUGGGAUUGAUUUUUGGUCUUUACUGCACAGUUUAUAGGUGGAGGGCAAAAAAAGCCCCUUCGGGGGGCACGAGCCGCCAGUGAGAUACCACUCUGUAAAAGCUGGAAUUCUAACCUUGUGCCAUAACUGACGGUUCAAGGGACAGUCUUAGGUAGACAGUUUAUAUGGGGCGUAGGCCUCCCAAAAGGUAACGGAGGCGCACAAAGGUUAUCUCGAACCGUACGGAGAUCGGUUCACGAGUGUAAGGGCAGAAGGGAGCCUGACUGCAAGACUUACUUUUCGAGCAGGGACGAAAGUCGGUCCUAGUGAUCCGACGGUUCCGGGUGGAAGGGCCGCCGCUCAACGGAUAAAAGUUACUCUAGGGAUAACAGGCUUAUCUUUCCCAAGAGUUCACAUCGACGGGAAGGUUUGGCACCUCGAUGUCGGCUCUUCGCCACCUGGGGCUGUAGCAUGUUCCAAGGGUUGGGCUGUUCGCCCAUUAAAGCGGUACGUGAGCUGGGUUCAGAACGUCGUGAGACAGUUCAGUCCAUAUCCGGUGCGGGCGUUAGAGCAUUGAUGGGACCUUUCUCUAGUACGAGAGGACCGGGAAGGGCGCACCUCUGGUGUACCAGUUAUCGUCCUAUACGGUAAAUGCUGGGUAGCCAAGUACGAGGAAGAUAAUUGCUGAAAGCAUCUAAGUAGUAAGCCCGCCUAAGGAUGAGUGCUCUCCU
This 2829-nucleotide ribosomal RNA is filed under the name Didymoplexis pallens. Its description in RNAcentral is "23S ribosomal RNA". It matches the Rfam family "Bacterial large subunit ribosomal RNA". Lineage: Eukaryota; Viridiplantae; Streptophyta; Magnoliopsida; Asparagales; Orchidaceae. The record is from RNAcentral.